RNAcentral lists this ribosomal RNA (497 nucleotides) under uncultured bacterium. RNAcentral's name for it is "partial 16S ribosomal RNA". It matches the Rfam family "Bacterial small subunit ribosomal RNA", at positions 28 to 507 of the family's 1533-position model. The record is from RNAcentral.
GAUGAACGCUGGCGGCGUGCCUAAUACAUGCAAGUCGAGCGAACAGAUAAGGAGCUUGCUCCUUUGACGUUAGCGGCGGACGGGUGAGUAACGCGUGGGUAACCUACCUAUAAGACUGGGAUAACUUCGGGAAACCGGAGCUAAUACCGGAUAACAUUUGGAACCGCAUGGUUCUAAAGUGAAAGAUGGUUUUGCUAUCACUUAUAGAUGGACCCGCGCCGUAUUAGCUAGUUGGUAAGGUAACGGCUUACCAAGGCGACGAUACGUAGCCGACCUGAGAGGGUGAUCGGCCACACUGGAACUGAGACACGGUCCAGACUCCUACGGGAGGCAGCAGUAGGGAAUCUUCCGCAAAGGGCGAAAGCCUGACGGAGCAACGCCGCGUGAGUGAUGAAGGGUUUCGGCUCGUAAAACUCUGUUAUUAGGGAAGAACAAAUGUGUAAGUAACUGUGCAUGUCUUGACGGUACCUAAUCAGAAAGCCACGGCUAACUACGUG